CAUGUGCUGCCUCCUGUGCCAGUUAGGGCUGCUGCUUCCCCACUUCCCUCUGCUUGUUGGGAAUGAGCAGAACCUCUGACUCAGGCCUCUGCUGGAAGAACAGUGGUACUAGGCAACCAGCACUUGCCUUCUGUGAUGGGGACACAGAUCUGAUGAGACAGAAGUGAGCAUUCAUUCUGGGAGCAGAAAUGAUGUGGCCUGAUUCAUUCCCCCACACAGUGGGGGAUGCUUGAGUUACCAGGAUGAAGACUUUAAAACUCACAGAGAAUAGAGGCUCAACCUGCUAAGGUUGCACAACUAGUCAGAAGACUGAAGCCAUCUCCAUUCAACCCUGAGACCAAGCUCUGUCUUGCAUCCACAGAUUUGUUAAUAAAAAAGCAAAACAA
This is a long non-coding RNA of Talpa occidentalis (Iberian mole), 386 nucleotides long. RefSeq lists it as uncharacterized. Lineage: Eukaryota; Metazoa; Chordata; Mammalia; Eulipotyphla; Talpidae. The transcript is spliced from 3 exons. The record is from RefSeq and is a predicted model, not a curated record.